GACGAACGCUGGCGGCGUGCUUAACACAUGCAAGUCGAGCGGUAAGGCCCUUUCGGGGGUACACGAGCGGCGAACGGGUGAGUAACACGUGGGUGACCUGCCCUCAGCUCUGGGAUAAGCCUGGGAAACCGGGUCUAAUACUGGAUAUGACUCCAUGACGCAUGUUGUGGGGUGGAAAGCCUUGUGCGGCUGAGGAUGGGCCCGCGGCCUAUCAGCUUGUUGGUGGGGUGAGGCCUACCAAGGCGACGACGGGUAGCCGGCCUGAGAGGGCGACCGGCCACACUGGGACUGAGACACGGCCCAGACUCCUACGGGAGGCAGCAGUGGGGAAUCUUGCGCAAUGGGCGAAAGCCUG
RNAcentral lists this ribosomal RNA (355 nucleotides) under uncultured bacterium. Its description in RNAcentral is "bacterial SSU rRNA". It matches the Rfam family "Bacterial small subunit ribosomal RNA", at positions 28 to 385 of the family's 1533-position model. The record is from RNAcentral.